RNAcentral lists this transfer RNA (71 nucleotides) under Cryptosporangium aurantiacum. It matches the Rfam family "tRNA". Rfam says of the family: Transfer RNA (tRNA) molecules are approximately 80 nucleotides in length. Their secondary structure includes four short double-helical elements and three loops (D, anti-codon, and T loops). Lineage: Bacteria; Bacillati; Actinomycetota; Actinomycetes; Cryptosporangiales; Cryptosporangiaceae. The record is from Rfam by way of RNAcentral.
AGAGUUGUAGCGCAACGGAAGCGCGCAUCCCUUCAGAGGAUGAAGUGCGGGUUCGAUUCCCGCCGACUCCA